Molecule: ribosomal RNA, 253 nt
Filed under: uncultured bacterium
Lineage: Bacteria
Description: partial 16S ribosomal RNA
Rfam family: Bacterial small subunit ribosomal RNA
Source: RNAcentral
UACGUAGGUGGCAAGCGUUGUCCGGAAUCACUGGGCGUAAAGCGCGCGCAGGCGGCGAUCUACGUCUGGGGUGAAAGCCCGGAGCUCAACUCCGGGACUGCCUUGGAUACGGGAUCGCUUGAGGAUUGGAGAGGCAAGGGGAAUUCCACGUGUAGCGGUGAAAUGCGUAGAUAUGUGGAGGAACACCUGUGGCGAAGGCGCCUUGCUGGCCAAUUUCUGACGCUGAGGCGCGAAAGCGUGGGGAGCAAACGGG